UCAGAACGAACGCUGGCGGCGUGGAUAAGACAUGCAAGUCGAACGAGAGAAUUGCUAGCUUGCUAAUAAUUCUCUAGUGGCGCACGGGUGAGUAACACGUGAGUAACCUGCCCCCGAGAGCGGGAUAGCCCUGGGAAACUGGGAUUAAUACCGCAUAGUAUCGAAAGAUUAAAGCAGCAAUGCGCUUGGGGAUGGGCUCGCGGCCUAUUAGUUAGUUGGUGAGGUAACGGCUCACCAAGGCGAUGACGGGUAGCCGGUCUGAGAGGAUGUCCGGCCACACUGGAACUGAGACACGGUCCAGACACCUACGGGUGGCAGCAGUCGAGAAUCAUUCACAAUGGGGGAAACCCUGAUGGCGCGACGCCGCGUGGGGGAAUGAAGGUCUUCGGAUUGUAAACCCCUGUCAUGUGGGAGCAAAUUAAAAAGAUAGUACCACAAGAGGAAGAGACGGCUAACUCUGUGCCAGCAGCCGCGGUAAUACAGAGGUCUCAAGCGUUGUUCGGAAUCACUGGGCGUAAAGCGUGCGUAGGCUGUUUCGUAAGUCGUGUGUGAAAGGCGCGGGCUCAACCCGCGGACGGCACAUGAUACUGCGAGACUAGAGUAAUGGAGGGGGAACCGGAAUUCUCGGUGUAGCAGUGAAAUGCGUAGAUAUCGAGAGGAACACUCGUGGCGAAGGCGGGUUCCUGGACAUUAACUGACGCUGAGGCACGAAGGCCAGGGGAGCGAAAGGGAUUAGAUACCCCUGUAGUCCUGGCAGUAAACGGUGCACGCUUGGUGUGCGGGGAAUCGACCCCCUGCGUGCCGGAGCUAACGCGUUAAGCGUGCCGCCUGGGGAGUACGGUCGCAAGAUUAAAACUCAAAGAAAUUGACGGGGACCCGCACAAGCGGUGGAGUAUGUGGCUUAAUUCGAUGCAACGCGAAGAACCUUACCUGGGCUUGACAUGUAAUGAACAACAUGUGAAAGCAUGCGACUCUUCGGAGGCGUUACACAGGUGCUGCAUGGCCGUCGUCAGCUCGUGUCGUGAGAUGUUUGGUUAAGUCCAGCAACGAGCGCAACCCCUGUUGCCAGUUACCAGCACGUGAAGGUGGGGACUCUGGCGAGACUGCCCAGAUCAACUGGGAGGAAGGUGGGGACGACGUCAGGUCAGUAUGGCCCUUAUGCCCAGGGCUGCACACGUACUACAAUGCCCAGUACAGAGGGGGCCGAAGCCGCGAGGCGGAGGAAAUCCUGAAAACUGGGCCCAGUUCGGACUGUAGGCUGCAACCCGCCUACACGAAGCCGGAAUCGCUAGUAAUGGCGCAUCAGCUACGGCGCCGUGAAUACGUUCCCGGGUCUUGUACACACCGCCCGUCACAUCAUGGAAGCCGGUCGCACCCGAAGUAUCUGAAGCCAACCGCAAGGAGGCAGGGUCCUAAGGUGAGACUGGUAACUGGGAUGAAGUCGUAACAAGGUAACC
Molecule: ribosomal RNA, 1457 nt
Filed under: uncultured bacterium
Lineage: Bacteria
Description: 16S ribosomal RNA
Rfam family: Bacterial small subunit ribosomal RNA
Source: RNAcentral